RNAcentral lists this unclassified non-coding RNA (365 nucleotides) under uncultured Helotiales. RNAcentral describes it as "sequence contains ITS2". The stretch from base 1 to 154 matches the Rfam family "5.8S ribosomal RNA". Lineage: Eukaryota; Fungi; Ascomycota; Leotiomycetes; Helotiales. The record is from RNAcentral.
AACUUUUGGCAAUGGAUCACUUGGUUCUGGCAUCGAUGAAGAACGCAGCGAAAUGCGACAAGUAAUGUGAAUUGCAGAAUUCAGCGAAUCAUCGAAUCUUUGAACGCACAUUGCGCCCCUUGGUAUUCCGGGGGGCAUGCCUGUUCGAGCGUCAUUUCAACCCUCACGCGUAGCGUGGUCUUGGGCUCUGCCAGCAACGGCUUGCCUUAAAAUCAGUGGCGGUGUCCUCGAGCUCUACGCGUAGUAAUAAACCCCUCGCGUGUGAGUCUCGGCGGUCGCUUGCCAGCAACCCCCAAUUUUUUAUGGUUGACCUCGAAUCAGGUAGGGAUACCCGCUGAACUUAAGCAUAUCAAUAAGCGGAGGCG